CCCGGUCUCACCUAGGAGCGGCGGCGGCGGGCUGAGCUGCCGAGCCCGGCGGGGGCGGGGAGAGAGGGGGCCCCGACGUCUGCUCCGCAGCCGCUACCCCUCCGCGCUGAGCAUCUUCCCCGCGCCCCGCGGCAAGACUGCUGAGCGAAAAAGAAGAUGGUUCAGAACAGUUAACUAAUUGCUGUUAUGGUUCUCCAAUGAAGGCCAGUUUUGAGAUGAGAAAGGAAGACAAUCUUCCACUGAGAAUGAACUUCCAUCCCAGUGUCAGCAGGGGUGCAAUAUGUCUCUCUGGGUUUAUGCCUCUGAAUGUGGUGACCCAAAACAAGCCAGCAGGACCCACAAGUAUGUCAGAAAUUGCUUAACACUUUGCAGAACUGAAAUCAUCAAAGAGUUCCCAGGCAAACACUCCAACAGUGUGAAGUAUGGGUGAUCAUCCCUACAGAGUACAUCUGCACUGCCAACAGUAGUACCUGACAUACUUAGUUGAAAUAAAUCCGUUUUUGAUCAUU
Long non-coding RNA from Columba livia (rock pigeon), 509 nucleotides. RefSeq lists it as uncharacterized. The record is from RefSeq and is a predicted model, not a curated record. Lineage: Eukaryota; Metazoa; Chordata; Aves; Columbiformes; Columbidae. The transcript has 3 exons.